Molecule: ribosomal RNA, 253 nt
Filed under: uncultured bacterium
Lineage: Bacteria
Description: partial 16S ribosomal RNA
Rfam family: Bacterial small subunit ribosomal RNA
Source: RNAcentral
UACGUAGGAGACGAGCGUUGUCCGGAAUUAUUGGGCGUAAAGGGCUCGUAGGCGGUUUGUCGCGUCGGGAGUGAAAACACUGGGCUUAACUCAGUGCUUGCUUCCGAUACGGGCAGACUAGAGGUAUUCAGGGGAGAACGGAAUUCCUGGUGUAGCGGUGAAAUGCGCAGAUAUCAGGAGGAACACCGGUGGCGAAGGCGGUUCUCUGGGAAUGUCCUGACGCUGAGGAGCGAAAGUGUGGGGAGCGAACAGG